CUUCACCGAGCCCAGCCAGAUCGGGUUCUCCUCCGGCCGUUCCUGACCGUAGGUCGCCAGCAGCGCGUGCGCCUC
RNAcentral lists this antisense RNA (75 nucleotides) under Actinacidiphila yanglinensis. Its description in RNAcentral is "Streptomyces yanglinensis ASpks TB sRNA". It matches the Rfam family "ASpks TB sRNA". Lineage: Bacteria; Bacillati; Actinomycetota; Actinomycetes; Kitasatosporales; Streptomycetaceae. The record is from Rfam by way of RNAcentral.